Molecule: ribosomal RNA, 547 nt
Filed under: Blastobotrys chiropterorum
Lineage: Eukaryota; Fungi; Ascomycota; Dipodascomycetes; Dipodascales; Trichomonascaceae
Description: partial large subunit ribosomal RNA
Rfam family: Eukaryotic large subunit ribosomal RNA
Source: RNAcentral
GCGGCAAAAGCUCAAAUUUGAAAUCUGGCGUCUUUCUUAGGCGUCCGAGUUGUAAUUUGAAGAUGGCAACUUUGGGAUUGGCUCUCGCAUAUGUUCCUUGGAACAGGACGUCAUAGAGGGUGAGAACCCCGUUCAUGGCGAGAUGACCCAAUUCUAUGUAAAGUGCUUUCUAAGAGUCGAGUUGUUUGGGAAUGCAGCUCUAAGUGGGUGGUAAAUUCCAUCUAAGGCUAAAUAUUGGCGAGAGACCGAUAGCGAACAAGUACAGUGAUGGAAAGAUGAAAAGAACUUUGAAAAGAGAGUGAAAAAGUACGUGAAAUUGUUGAAAGGGAAGGGCUUGAAAUCAGACUUGGUAUUCAGUGAUCAACUGUCUCUCGGGACUGUGCACUCGCUGUUUACUGGGCCAACAUCGGUUUGGAGGGUGAGAUAAAAGCUAGAGAAUGUGGCACUGCUCCGGUAGUGUGUUAUAGCUCUGGUCAAUAUCACCAUUCUGGACCGAGGACUGCGCUUUAUGCUAGGAUGUUGGCGUAAUGAUUUUAAGCCACCCGUC